CGCCGCGGUAAUUCCAGCUCCAAUAGCGUAUAUUAAAGUUGUUGCAGUUAAAAAGCUCGUAGUUGAAUUUCGGGAUCAAUAUGUUGGUCGUGCCUUUGGUACGUACUAGCUUAUUGAUUUCUCCCUUCUGACGAACCAUGAUGUCAUUAAUUUGGUGUCAUGGGGAAUCAGGACUGUUACUUUGAAAAAAUUAGAGUGUUUAAAGCAGGCUUACGCUUGAAUAUAUUAGCAUGGAAUAAUGAAAUAGGACGUUUUGAUUCUAUUUUGUUGGUUUCUAGGAUCGACGUAAUGAUUAAUAGGGAUAGUUGGGGGCAUUAGUAUUCAAUUGUCAGAGGUGAAAUUCUUGGAUUUAUUGAAGACUAACUACUGCGAAAGCAGUUGCCAAGGAUGUUUUCAUUAAUCAAGAACGAAAGUUAGGGGAUCGAAGACGAUCAGAUACCGUCGUAGUCUUAACCAUAAACUAUGCCGACUAGGGAUCGGAUGAUGUUAAUUUUUUAAUGACUCAUUCGGCGCCUUACG
RNAcentral lists this unclassified non-coding RNA (519 nucleotides) under uncultured Glomeromycotina. RNAcentral's name for it is "SSU rRNA". It matches the Rfam family "Eukaryotic small subunit ribosomal RNA", at positions 572 to 1092 of the family's 1831-position model. The record is from RNAcentral. Lineage: Eukaryota; Fungi; Glomeromycota.